GAUGAACGCUGGCGUCGUGCCUAAUACAUGCAAGUCGAGCGAACAGACGAGGAGCUUGCUCCUUCGACGUUAGCGGCGGACGGGUGAGUAACACGUAGAUAACCUACCUAUAAGACUGGGAUAACUUCGGGAAACCGGAGCUAAUACCGGAUAAUAUUUCGAACCGCAUGGUUCGAUAGUGAAAGAUGGCUUUGCUAUCACUUAUAGAUGGACCUGCGCCGUAUUAGCUAGUUGGUAAGGUAACGGCUUACCAAGGCAACGAUACGUAGCCGACCUGAGAGGGUGAUCGGCCACACUGGAACUGAGACACGGUCCAGACUCCUACGGGAGGCAGCAGUAGGGAAUCUUCCGCAAUGGGCGAAAGCCUGACGGAGCAACGCCGCGUGAGUGAUGAAGGUCUUCGGAUCGUAAAACUCUGUUAUUAGGGAAGAACAAACGUGUAAGUAACUGUGCACGUCUUGACGGUACCUAAUCAGAAAGCCACGGCUAACUACGUG
This 497-nucleotide ribosomal RNA is filed under the name uncultured bacterium. RNAcentral's name for it is "partial 16S ribosomal RNA". It matches the Rfam family "Bacterial small subunit ribosomal RNA", at positions 28 to 507 of the family's 1533-position model. The record is from RNAcentral.